Molecule: ribosomal RNA, 254 nt
Filed under: uncultured bacterium
Lineage: Bacteria
Description: partial 16S ribosomal RNA
Rfam family: Bacterial small subunit ribosomal RNA
Source: RNAcentral
UACGAAGGGGGCUAGCGUUGCUCGGAAUCACUGGGCGUAAAGCGCACGUAGGCAGCUUUUUAAGUCAGGGGUGAAAUCCUGGAGCUCAACUCCAGAACUGCCUUUGAUACUGGCGAUCUUGAGUCCGGAAGAGGUGAGUGGAACUCCUAGUGUAGAGGUGGAAUUCGUAGAUAUUAGGAAGAACACCAGUGGCGAAGGCGGCUCACUGGUCCGGUACUGACGCUGAGGUGGCGAAAGCGUGGGGAGCAAACAGG